GGAGCGAUCUUCUUCGGAAGAGAGCGGCGGACGGGUGAGUAACGCGUGGGUAACCUGCCUCAUACACAUGGAUAACAUACCGAAAGGUAUGCUAAUACAAGAUGAUAUAAGAGAUUCGCAUGGAUUUCUUAUCAAAGCUCCGGCGGUAUGAGAUGGACCCGCGUCUGAUUAGCUAGUUGGUAAGGUAACGGCUUACCAAGGCGACGAUCAGUAGCCGACCUGAGAGGGUGAUCGGCCACAUUGGAACUGAGACACGGUCCAAACUCCUACGGGAGGCAGCAGUGGGGAAUAUUGCACAAUGGGCGAAAGCCUGAUGCAGCAACGCCGCGUGAGCGAUGAAGGCCUUCGGGUCGUAAAGCUCUGUCCUCAAGGAAGAUAAUGACGGUACUUGAGGAGGAAGCCCCGGCUAACUACGUGCCAGCAGCCGCGGUAAUACGUAGGGGGCUAGCGUUAUCCGGAUUUACUGGGCGUAAAGGGUGCGUAGGUGGUUUCUUAAGUCAGGAGUGAAAGGCUACGGCUCAACCGUAGUAAGCUCUUGAAACUGGGAAACUUGAGUGCAGGAGAGGAAAGUGGAUUUCCUAGUGUAGCG
Molecule: ribosomal RNA, 589 nt
Filed under: uncultured bacterium
Lineage: Bacteria
Description: bacterial SSU rRNA
Rfam family: Bacterial small subunit ribosomal RNA
Source: RNAcentral